RNAcentral lists this ribosomal RNA (545 nucleotides) under uncultured bacterium. RNAcentral's name for it is "partial 16S ribosomal RNA". It matches the Rfam family "Bacterial small subunit ribosomal RNA", at positions 355 to 893 of the family's 1533-position model. The record is from RNAcentral.
UGGGGAAUUUUGGACAAUGGGCGAAAGCCUGAUCCAGCAAUGCCGCGUGUGUGGAGAAGGCCUUCGGGUUGUAAAGCACUUUUGUCCGGAAAGAAAUCCUUGGCUCUAAUACAGUCGGGGGAUGACGGUACCGGAAGAAUAAGCACCGGCUAACUACGUGCCAGCAGCCGCGGUAAUACGUAGGGUGCAAGCGUUAAUCGGAAUUACUAGGCGUAAAGCGUGCGCAGGCGGUUUGCUAAGACCGAUGUGAAAUCCCCGGGCUCAACCUGGGAACUGCAUUGGUGACUGGCAGGCUAGAGUAUGGCAGAGGGGGGUAGAAUUCCACGUGUAGCAGUGAAAUGCGUAGAGAUGUGGAGGAAUACCGAUGGCGAAGGCAGCCCCCUGGGCCAAUACUGACGCUCAUGCACGAAAGCGUGGGGAGCAAACAGGAUUAGAUACCCUGGUAGUCCACGCCCUAAACGAUGUCAACUAGUUGUUGGGGAUUCAUUUCCUUAGUAACGUAGCUAACGCGUGAAGUUGACCGCCUGGGGAGUACGGUCGCAAGA